UUUGCAGCUUCUUUCGUCUGUCAGUAAAUGUGAAUGCUUCUAGUCAUCAGUCAAAUAUCUUAUGUUAUUUUGACAAUGAGGCAGAUGGCCUGCUGUUUUGGGUCAAACUUGGGUGAAUGUGCAUGACCACAGCAAGUACCACUGAGGACCUACUGCGAUAUUUUCUCUAAAUUGAUCUUACCUCAUUUAAUUCUUUAAAAAAUCUUCUUGCCUACAUUUUCUCAUUGCCUCUAAGGACAUUGUGUUGGACUGGUGAUGGCGUGUACAAUUCAAUAACUCUCUGGUCUCUAAACUAAAAGAAUAACUUUUAAUUUUAGAGAUUCAGGACUCAGGAGAAGACUUCGUGGGCAAGAGUUGACAUAGAAGUUGACAGUCAAAACCUUACACUAAUUCUUAGAAGUGUUGAUCUCCAAUAAAGAGAAGAGCUAAAACUCAUGCUCCUAGGGACUUAUAGAUGAUGCAUUUGGUGGCCAUCGUGGCUUCAUCCACAAAGCAGCCCUUACCUCUGAGAAAUGCUGGGAACAUUGAAGUUUAUUUAGAUAUCAACAUAUGAAUUCCCACCAGAGCAUCAUAAAGUAGUCUUUCCUGAGACUGUGAGAGUUCCCUGCCUUCUGAGGGCCCCGGUGCUGCCUGCCCUGUCAGGGUACCCUGAGGAGCAGAUGAUGGGAUCGCUGAGAAUUUUAGACACUGGAUGUUUCGCUAGUGUAAAUGUGGGGGUGCAGUGGGUGGAAGAUCAGGUUUGUUAGGGAAGAUGAGGAAGGAAAAGAGACGCUUCCUGGGAGAAUAGGACAAGGUCCCAGACCAAAGAAGUCCCUUUUCAGAGGAUCCAGAGAAUCUGUUUCUUAAACCUGGAGAAGAACAUGAGGUCAUAGUUUCAUUUCCUCCGAAGGAUUCUGAAGCCUGGGAAAAAAGGUAGAAACAGAAGGGAAAGACAUUCUUGAUUUUGUUGGCUGCAGUGGUGGAGGCUGGAAAUUUCUGCCACUAAAAUCGAUGGACUGGAUGCAUGCCACAGUGCCAAUCAGAGCACCGUGGCCUGGCAAGGUCUGAUGUUUUCCAAGGAUCCUGGCUGAGUUCCUGCAGGAGCAGCUCCCUGUGCUGAAGUGGUCCCUUGGCUGGCAGGUCCCUCUGUGAUCAACCACAUGACAUCUGCCAGUUAAGAAGGACAGGUAGGACACGAUGCACUUUCCAUCAAAAAAAAAAAAAAAAAAAAAAGAUAAGUUUUUCCAAACUGCUUUUCUUUCAUUCAGAUUUCAAUCUUAAUACUACGAUACAUUAAUUUUUUAUUUUUAUCUAAUAAGGUCCAGAAUUUCUGAUAAUUUCAGGUCUUUUUCAGAGUCCAAAGAAGCAACUCGGCUCUUCAGAGAUUCAAGACUCAGGAGCAGACUUUGUGGCAAGAGUUGACAUAGAAGUUGACAGCCGAAACCCUACACCAGUUCUUAGAAGUGUUGAUCUCCAAGAGUAGAAACAGCUAAAACUCAUGCUCCCAGGGACUUACAGGUCCCAGAAUGAGGAAGUCCUUCCUCAGUGGAUCCAGAGAAUCUAUUCCUUAAGCCUGGAGAAGAACAUGAGGUUAUAGAUUCUUUUUCUCCAAAGGAUCCCAAAGCUUGGGAGGAAAGGAUCUAAAAAAUGUUUGUGCAGCCGUUUGGACCUCAGUGUGAAGUGGUGAUAAAAGGUGAAGUCCAUUCUUCAGGAAGUAAACCCCUGCCACAUGGAUCAUGCUCAGACAUUCUAUUGAUUUUGUCCAACAAACAGUUUCUUGCUUUGGAACAUUUCCCUCUUGGUGGAAAACAGUUGUACAAGAAGUAUGGCAACAUCUCCUUGGGUUCAAUUAUGGUGGAAGGCGAAGAGGAAACUGGCAUUUCACAUGGCUAAGAAUUUCCAGUAAACCAGCACCAGCCUGAAGAUCAUGUUCUCAUCAAAGGGUGGAAAGAAGAAAAACUCGAGCCAGCCUGGGAAGGACCCUACCUUGUGCUGCUAACCACCAAGACUGCUGUUUGUACAGCAAAAAAAGGAUGGACUCAUCACACCUGAGUCAAGAAAGCACCACCCUCUUCCAGAGUCAUGGGCCAUAGUCCCAGGGGAAAACCCUACCAAACUAAAGCUAAGAAAAAUUUAACUCUUUUCAUUUAUUCUAUUACUCUUUCUUAUUUCCUCGUUCUAUUGCUGACCAUCUAGUUAUUAACAUAACCAAGUCAAUUUCACCUCAAACUGUUGCAUUUAAUGCUUGCCUUGUUAUACCCUGUGGAGACUUGCCAAGUCAAAGACAGAUUUCUAAUUCAGAAAAGUACUUCUGUCCCUCCUGACUGUCCUCAGACUGGGCAUUAGUAAACUAGGACCAUUUAAUCUGGGGAGAUUUUGAUAAAGACCCCAGUGCCAGCCAGGAGUCUUGCCCCCCAGUGUAGAGCUUUUAUGCCAUAGUUGGUCCAAUAUUCCGUGGACCACUAAAGAGCAAGGAUGUACUACCCCAACCGGUUUUUGUAAUUUCCUAAAAUCAUACAUUCAUUUUACUAGACGAUCAUAGAAGUUAAAGACUUAAAACAAACUUUAGCAAUUAAGACAGGAUACCAAGAUACAAAUGCCUGGUUAAAAUGGAUUGAAUAUUCCAUCUGCACAUUAAACAAAAGCAAUUGUUAUGCUUGUGCACAUAGCAGGCCAGAGGCCCAAAUUGUCCCCCUUCCACUAAGGUGGUCCUCCAGUCGACCAGGCAUAGGCUGCAUGGUAGCUCUUUUCCAGGAUUCUACAUCCUGGAGUAGUAAGUCGUGCCAAGCUCUCUCUGCUAUAUCCUGAAGUCCAGCACCCUGCGGGUCAGCCCCCAAGGGCCAUCUAGCUUCCGUCUCCCUACACUAAGUUCACUUCGUGUGUCUCACAACAGGGAGGAAACUUAGCAUUCCUUGGAGACCUGAAGAGAUGCAGUGAGCUUAAGAAUUUUCAAGAGCUUAUCAAUCAGUCAGCCCUUGUUCAUCUCUGAGCGGGUGUGUGGUGGUAUUGUGGUGGACCUUUACUGGACACUCUGCCAAAUAACUAGAAGUGGCACUUGUGGUGUAGUCCAUUUGGCUAUCCCUUUCACCCUGGCAUUUCAUCAGCCAGAGGGAGGAAAAAUAAUAAGACGUCGUAAAGCGAGAGAAGCCCCUUAUGCGUCUUUAAACUCCCACAUCUAUUUAGAUGCAAUUGGAGCCCCGCAAGGAAUACCAGAUCAAUUUAAAGCUUGAAAUCAAAUAGCUACAGGAUUUAUGUCAAUAUUUUACUAGGUGACAGUUAAUAAAAAUGUAGAUUAGAUAAACUAUGUCUAUUACAACCAACAGCAACAAGUUUUUCAUGAGUUAAAAGAAAAACUCAUGUCAGCCCCAGCCCUGGGGCUACCUGACUUGACAAAACCCUUUACACCCUGUGUCAGAAAAAGAAAAAUGGCAGUUAGAGUUUUAACCCAGACUGUAGGGCCCUGGCCAAGGCCAGUGGCCUAUCUCUCAAAACAACUAGACAGCGUUUCCAAAGGCUGGUCCCCAUGUCUAAGGGCCCUAGCAGCAAUUGGCCCUGGUAGCACAAAAAGCAGAUAAACUAACUCUUGGGCAAAACCUAAACAUAAAUUCCCCCCGUGCUGUGGUGACUUUAAUAAAUACCAAAGGACAUCAUUAGCUAACGAAUGCUAGACUAACUAGAUACCAAAGCUUGCUCUGUGAAAAUUCCCACAUAACCAUUGAAGUUUACAACACCCUAAACCCCACCACCUUGCUCCCGGUAUCAGAGAGCCCAGUUAAACAUAACUAUGUAGAGGCAUUGGACUCAGUUUAUUCUAGUGGGCCUGACCUCCGAGAGCAACCUUAAACAUCAGUAGACUGUGAGCUGUACAUGGAUGGGAGCAGCUUCGCCAACCCCUGCAAAGUGAAUCUGAAGAAGACGACAAGCCCUACUCCAGUCACACCCGGAAGCUGACUGGUCCAUGCACGGCCGAAACAUGAGGAAACUUACCACGGGACUCAUUUUCCUUAAAAUUUGGACUUGUACAGUAAGGACUUCAACUGACCUUCCUCAGACUGAGGGCUGUUCCCAGUGUAUACAUCAAGUCACUGAGGUAGGACAAAAGGUUGCUAUGGUCCUAUUGUUUUAUGGGUAUUAUAAGUGUACUGGAACUCUAAAAAGAACUUGUUUAUAUAAUGUUAUUCUAUACAAGGUAUGUAGCCCAGGAAAUGACCAACCUGAUGUGUGUUAUGACCCAUCUGAGCCUCCCAUGACCACUGUUUUUAAAAUAAGAUUAAGAACUGAAGACUGGUAGGGGCUCAUAAACAAUAAGAGUGAAGUGUUAGCCAAAACAGAAAAAAAAAAAAAAAAGAGGUGCCCAAACAAGCCACCUUAAAAUUUAAUGUCUGUGCCGUCAUUAAUAAUAAUAAGUUAAAAAUAGGAUAUGGUUCUCUUAAUUAGAAAAGAGGCUAUAUGGCAAAAAAUAAGUACAUUUAUCAUGAAUUAGGACUGUGUGAAAAUAAAUGUAGAUACUGGUCUUGUGUCAUUUAGGCUACUUGAAUAAAAAAAAAAUGAAAACAAUCCUGUCCACCUUCAGCAAGGGAAAAGUGGCCCUUCCUGUACCAGUGGGCAGUGUAACUCCUUAGAACUAGUAAGAGAACAACCCCCUCGCUAGAAAAAAAGGGAACAUGUAACCCUAAAAAUUGAUGGAGCUGGACUAGAUCUUCAAGUAAAUAUCAUGGUUUGAGAAAAAGUUUAUAAACGCUCUCCUGAGCCAGUAUUUCAAACCUUCUAUGAUAAACUAAAUGUGCCAGUACCAGAAAUUCCAGAAAAACAAGAAAUUGGUUUUUGCAAUUAGCCAAGCACGUAGCCCAGUCUCUCAAUGUCACUUCAUGUUAUGUAUGUGGAGGAACUGUAAUAGGAGAUCAAUGGCCAUAGGAAGCCCGAGAAUUAGUACCUAUAGACACAGUUCCUGAUGAAUUCCCAGCCCAAAAGAAUCACCCUGAUCACUUCUAGGUCCUAAAACCCUCAAUCAUUAGACAAUACUGUAUAGCAAGAGUGGGAAAGGACUUCACCCUUCCUGUAGGAAGUCUACAUGGUGGAGUUCAAACCACACAGAGAAAAAUCCAUUCAGUAAAUUUCCAAAGUUGCAGACCAUUUGGGCCUACCCAGAAUCCCACCGGGACUGGACGGCCCCCACUGGGCUAUACUGUAUAUGUGGACAUAGAGCCUAUGCUAACCUGCCUGACCAGUGGACAGGUAGUUGUGUUAUUGGCACUAUUAAACCAUUUUUCUUCCUACUGCCCAUAAAAACAGGUGAACUCCUGGGCUUCCCCGUCUAUGCUUCCCACGAAAAGCGAAGCAUAGCCAUAGAUAAUUAAAAAGAUGACAAACGGCCUCCUGAAAAAAAUUAUACAAUACUAUGGGCCUGCCACUUGGGCACAAGUGGGGAUACUGGACUCCCAUUUACAUGCUCAACCGAAUCAUACGGUUGCAAGCUGUCUUGGAGAUCAUCUCUAAUAAAACCGGUAAAGCCUUGACUGUUCUGGCUCGGCAAGAAACUCAGAUGAGAAAUGCUAUCUAUCAAAAUAGAUUGACUCUCGACUACUUGCUAGCAGCUGAAGGAGAAGUCUGUAGAAAAUGUAACCUUACCAGUUGCUGCCUGCACAUAGAUGAUCAGGGGCAAGUAGUCAAAGAUACAGUUAAAGACAUGAAGAAACUGGCACAUGUGCCUGUACAAGUGUGGCAUGGAUUUGACCCUGAAGCCAUGUUUAAAAAUUGUUCCCAACACUAAGAGGAUUUAAAACUCUUAUAAUAAAAAUUAUAGUAGUAAUAGGAACCUGCUUACAGAUCCCUUAUUUACUACCUGUACUCAUUCAAAUAGUAAAAGGUUUCAUCACUACUCUAGUCCACCAGAAUGCUUCAGCACAAGUGUACUGCAUAAAUCACUAUCGAUCUGUCAUGCAGGAAGACAUAGGUAGUGAAAAUGAAGGUGAGAACUCCCACUAAUAAAGUGAGUGAGAGUCUCAAAGUGGGGGAAUAAGGGAGGAGACCACCCCUCAUAUUGUCUUAUGCCCAAUUUCUGCCUCCAAAGAGGGAAGAAGUAAAAACUAAAAGGGAGAAAUGAAAUCCACAGGCGGACAGCCCGGCACCAUGCCCUGGGCCUGGUAGUUAAAGAUCGACCCCUGACCUAACCAGUUACGUUAUCUAUAGAUUCCAGACAUUGUAUGGAGAAGCAUUGUAAAAAUCCCUGUCCUGUUCUGUUCCAAUCUGAUUACCGGUGCAUGCAGCCCCCAGUCACAUACCCCUUGCUUGCUCAAUUGAUCACGACCCUCUCACGCAGACCCGCUUAGAGUUGUGAGCCCUUAAAAGGGGCAGGAAUUGCUCACUCGGGG
This is a long non-coding RNA of Pongo pygmaeus (Bornean orangutan), 6350 nucleotides long. RefSeq lists it as uncharacterized. The transcript has 10 exons. NCBI's taxonomy places the organism in Eukaryota, Metazoa, Chordata, Mammalia, Primates, Hominidae. The record is from RefSeq and is a predicted model, not a curated record.